Molecule: ribosomal RNA, 468 nt
Filed under: uncultured bacterium
Lineage: Bacteria
Description: partial 16S ribosomal RNA
Rfam family: Bacterial small subunit ribosomal RNA
Source: RNAcentral
GACGAACGCUGGCGGCGUGCUUAACACAUGCAAGUCGAACGGAAAGGCUCUGCUUUUGUGGGUUGCUCGAGUGGCGAACGGGUGAGUAACACGUGAGUAACCUGCCCUUGACUUUGGGAUAACUUCAGGAAACUGGGGCUAAUACCGGAUAGGAGCUCCUGCUGCACGGUGGGGGUUGGAAAGUUUCGGCGGUUGGGGAUGGACUCGCGGCUUAUCAGCUUGUUGGUGGGGUAGUGGCUUACCAAGGCUGUGACGGGUAGCCGGCCUGAGAGGGUGACAGGCCACCGUGCGACUGAGGUACGGCCCAGACUCCUACGGGAGGCAGCAGUGGGAGAUAUUGCACAAUGGGCGGAAGCCUGAUGCUGCAACGCCGCGUGCGGGAUGACGGCCUUCGGGUUGUAACCCGCUUUCGCCUUUGACGAAGCGAGAGUGACGGUAAUCGGUAAAGAAGCACCGGCUAACUACGUG